AGAGUUUGAUUCUGGCUCAGAACGAACGCUGGCAGCGUGGAUUAGGCAUGCAAGUCGAACGGAACCUGCGGGUUCAAGUUUUCGGACAAGAACCUGUGGGGGAGAGUGGCGAAAGGGUGAGUAACGCGUGGGUAAUCUGCCUCUAAGUUGGGGAUAAUCCAGCGAAAGCUGGACUAAUACCGAAUGUGGUCCCCCGAUGCAUAUCGGGGAGAUUAAAGGUGGGGAUCUUUCGGGACCUGCCGCUUGGAGAGGAACCCGCGUCCCAUCAGCUUGUUGGUGAGGUAAUGGCUCACCAAGGCUUACGGGUAGCUGGUCUGAGAGGAUGGUCAGCCACACUGGGACUGAGACACUGCCCAGACUCCUACGGGAGGCUGCAGUCGAGGAUCAUUGUCAAUGCGCGAAAGCGUGAACAUGCGACGCUGCGUGGAGGAUGACAGCCUUCGGGUUGUAAACUCCUGUCAUUCGGGACAAAUCGUCCGUUCCUGAAUAUGGUUCGGGCUUGAUGGUACCGGAAGAGGAAGCCGCGGCUAACUCUGUGCCAGCAGCCGCGGUAAUACAGAGGUGGCGAGCGUUGUUCGGAUUUACUGGGCGUAAAGCGUGCGUAGGUGGUUUCGUAUGUCGAAUGUGAAAGCCCACUGCCCAACAGUGGAAAUGCAUUCGAAACUGCGGGACUAGAGUCCAGGAGGGGAGAGCGGAAUUCUUGGUGUAGCGGUGAAAUGCGUUGAUAUCAAGAAGAACACCGGUGGCGAAGGCGGCUCUCUGGAAUGGUACUGACACUGAGGCACGAAAGCUGGGGGAGCGAACAGGAUUAGAUACCCUGGUAGUCCCAGCCGUAAACGGUGCACACUUGGUGUGGGCGGUAUUGACCCCGUCCGUGCCGGAGCUAACGCGUUAAGUGUGCCGCCUGGGGAGUACGGCCGCAAGGCUAAAACUCAAAGAAAUUGACGGGGGCCCGCACAAGCGGAGGAGCAUGUGGCUUAAUUCUAUGCAACGCGAAGAACCUUACCAGGGCUUGACAUGCAGCUGCACGGCCGGUGAAAGCCGGUUUCCUUCGAGGGCGCUGCACAGGUGCUGCAUGGCUGUCGUCAGUUCGUGCCGUGAGGUGUUGGGUUAAGUCCCGCAACGAACGCAACCCCUGUGUUUAGUUGCCACCCCGGUGAUGAGCCGGUGAGCACUCUAAACAGACUGCCCGUACAAGCGGGAGGAAGGUGGGGACGACGUCAAGUCAGUAUGGCCCUUACGCCCUGGGCUGCACACGUGCUACAAUGGUCGGUACAGAGGGAUGCAAUACCGCGAGGUGGCGCAAAUCCCCAAAACUGGCCCCAGUUCGGAUUGGAGUCUGCAACUCGACUCCAUGAAGUUGGAUUCGCUAGUAACGGCGCAUCAGCUACGGCGCCGUGAAUACGUUCCCGGGCCUUGUACACACCGCCCGUCACAUCAUGAAAGCCGUCUGCACCCGAAGUCACCGGGCUAACUUUUUUUAGAGGCAGGUGCCGAAGGUGUGGGUGGUGAUUGGGAUGAAGUCGUAACAAGGUA
This 1536-nucleotide ribosomal RNA is filed under the name metagenome. RNAcentral's name for it is "bacterial SSU rRNA". It matches the Rfam family "Bacterial small subunit ribosomal RNA". The record is from RNAcentral.